Molecule: long non-coding RNA, 1263 nt
Organism: Anolis carolinensis (green anole)
Lineage: Eukaryota; Metazoa; Chordata; Lepidosauria; Squamata; Anolidae
Exons: 2
Source: RefSeq, a predicted model, not a curated record
CAACACCUGGAGCAAAGGCCUCCCCUGCUCAGCCUUGAAGGGAAAGCAGCCCUCCCCGGUUUUCACUCCCUAAUGGUGUGUUUAUAUACGGUAUGGGCCAACUUGGGCCCUCCCUCCAGGUACCACUUUGAUGGCUGAAAAUGAGGAGGAGCAGAGGAGCCUUAUAGCCAAGGUGAAAGAAGAAAGUGCAAAAGCUGGGUUGCAGUUAAACAAAAAACCAGAUGAUGGAAAACGGAAGGAGAAAGGAAGAGGGGCCGACAAAGGGUAAGAUGGAUGGAUGUUAUUUUUGAAUGACUGUCUCAACCUUGAAGGAGCUGGGUGUGACGAAGGCCAAUAAGAGUGGGCUGGUCCAUGAGGUCAUGAAGAGUCUGAACGAAUAACAAUCUUUGGAUUAUUUCAAGUUUUACAGCUGUGCACAUAAAGAAGACGUAGUCCUUAUGACGAAAUGAACUAUGUUGGUGGUUGGAAAUGGAAAGUAGAGCUAUUUUAGGAUUAGGAUUAAUGAUUUGGCAACAUUUUUUUCUUAUAACUGUAAAAUGUUAUCUAGUAUGUAAAUAUAAAACAGACAGUACCAAAAGAGAUACAGGGUGCUGUUUAUAUGUAUAUUCCUGGAGCACCACAUAGCAUCUGUGGCCCCUUCUAUACUGCCGUAUUGAUGAAGGUGUAUUGGGAAAAUAUAAUACUUGUAUUGGAAAAUAUAUAUUGAAUGUAAUCAUGUUAAGAAAUAGGAAAAUAUGUAAUCACCAGCAGAUUGUGUGCUAGCCUUAAAAUACACUCUACUCAGCAAAAGCAAGACCAAAGUUCACUGAGUGCAAGGGACAUAUGUUAAGUGUCAACAAGAAUAGAUAAGCUAAUGGACAAGAGAGAAAUUAAGGCUUUUUGGGAUGUCAAGAUAAGACCUGGCGCCUUGAGGGGAGUGCUAAUGGGUCUCUGACAGCUAAGAUAAGGGGGAACUCCUUAAUUAAUGAGAACCCCUAAAAGCUGAAAUGAGAAUUCCAGAGAUAAGGCUAAUGGAGGGUCAGGGGUCUUGAAAGUAGUCUAUAUUUUAGGAAAAUGCUAAGAUAGCUUUUUAGUAAGUGCACAGUAAGACUUUUUUGACACUAUUUGGUGAUGGAUAAUGCCUAGAUGACGUAGUAGAUGGAGGAAAAAGGGUAUAUAAGAACCUGUGAUUCUUUGUUCCAGUACCUUCGCUUUCCUGACCACAGGAGAUCUUUGCUUAUUGUCUCUGGCCAUUGAGAAUAAACGUCAUUUUUUCUACAGCCA